RNAcentral lists this small RNA (83 nucleotides) under Salmonella enterica subsp. enterica serovar Albany. RNAcentral describes it as "partial RtT sRNA". It matches the Rfam family "RtT RNA", at positions 1 to 79 of the family's 130-position model. Rfam says of the family: This family represents a bacterial cis-regulatory element known as RtT RNA. The exact function of RtT is unknown although it is thought that it may be involved in changing the cellular response in relation to amino acid starvation. The record is from RNAcentral. Lineage: Bacteria; Pseudomonadati; Pseudomonadota; Gammaproteobacteria; Enterobacterales; Enterobacteriaceae.
UGUAUCUGAAACCUGACGAGGAUGAGAACCUCCGGGGGCAAGAGGUUCGACCCGAGCGAAGCGAGAGAACGUUGCGUCAGCAA